Molecule: long non-coding RNA, 996 nt
Organism: Felis catus (domestic cat)
Lineage: Eukaryota; Metazoa; Chordata; Mammalia; Carnivora; Felidae
Exons: 2
Source: RefSeq, a predicted model, not a curated record
UUGAGAGGAGCCCGCCAGCGGCCACUGCGCAGGCGCUGGGCAGCUCGCCGGACUCCCGCAGCGCUUCUCCAAAAGUUCCAGUCCAGCGGGUGGACCACCGUGCAGCGCAGCUGCACACAACAGAGAAGGCAAAAGAAAACUCCCGGGGGGCUCCGUUGGCUUCUAUGGGAGUGACAAAGAUGCUUUCCCUCUAGAAGCCCGGAAGCUUUCUCCUUUGCAAUCCAAUGAGGGUGAAGUGAACGCCGCUCUUCCUUGUGAAGCGCCCUGCCAGGAAGAGCCAGUUGUGUGUGGACCCGCGGUACCUGGCCGUCCCCUUCCAGGCUGGAUUCCGCAGAGGUUUGCCUUUUGUGGACAUUUCCUAAAAAUGGAAUCAUGUAAUAUGGAGUCUUUUGUGACUGGUCCCUUAUACUGAUACUGGAUAUUCAUGUUAUUUCCAGGUUUGGGGCUAUUACAAAUAAUAUUACUGGGAACAUUAUUAUACAUAUCUGUAUGUUGUUUGUAUCUAUGGAUAGAUUUGUAUCACAUAGAUACAUAUUUCUAUGAGAUAUAUACCAAAGAGUGGAAUAGCCCAGAGAUAGGUUAUGCUUAUGGUUAGUUAUAGUUGAUAGUACCAAACUGUUUUUUAAAUUUAUACCCCCACCAGCGCUGUAUAAUGAGUUUUUAUUGCUCCACACCCUCACCAACAUUUGGUGGUUGUGUGAUUUCAAUUUAUACUUCUCUGAUGACUAAUGAAAAAGAACAUCUUUUCAUGUGAUUAUUAGUCAUUUGAAUAUCCUCUUUUAGUAAACCACCUAUUGAGUCUUUUUUUCUGUUGUUUUUUUUUGUCUUUUUCUGCUUGACUUAUUUAUUCUAAUGUGAGUCCAUUUUCAUUUAUAAGCACUGCUAAAAAAAAAAACACCUUUCCCUAGCCUGUGGCUUGCAUUUUAAUUAUCUUACUGUUAAAUUUUAAUGAAUGUAACUUUGUUAUUUUUAUUAAAGUCUGAUUUGUCAAACUUC